RNAcentral lists this ribosomal RNA (474 nucleotides) under uncultured organism. RNAcentral describes it as "partial 16S ribosomal RNA". It matches the Rfam family "Bacterial small subunit ribosomal RNA", at positions 335 to 800 of the family's 1533-position model. The record is from RNAcentral.
ACUCCUACGGGAGGCAGCAGUGGGGAAUUUUGGACAGUGGGCGAAAGCCUGAUCCAGCAAUGCCGCGUGAGUGAAGAAGGCCUUCGGGUUGUAAAGCUCUUUUGUCAGGGAAGAAACGGUGAAAGCUAAUAUCUUUUGCUAAUGACGGUACCUGAAGAAUAAGCACCGGCUAACUACGUGCCAGCAGCCGCGGUAAUACGUAGGGUGCAAGCGUUAAUCGGAAUUACUGGGCGUAAAGCGUGCGCAGGCGGUUUUGUAAGUCUGAUGUGAAAUCCCCGGGCUCAACCUGGGAAUUGCAUUGGAGACUGCAAGGCUAGAAUCUGGCAGAGGGGGGUAGAAUUCCACGUGUAGCAGUGAAAUGCGUAGAUAUGUGGAGGAACACCGAUGGCGAAGGCAGCCCCCUGGGUCAAGAUUGACGCUCAUGCACGAAAGCGUGGGGAGCAAACAGGAUUAGAAACCCUUGUAGUCCCAUGA